Cyprinus carpio carpio is the source of this 1032-nucleotide long non-coding RNA. The record is from Ensembl. Lineage: Eukaryota; Metazoa; Chordata; Actinopteri; Cypriniformes; Cyprinidae.
AUGUUAACUAAUCUACAUUUACAAUAUGAAAGACUUCCUCCACUAAGAAUGUCCUUUACUUCAUAUAUCCUUCUGAACAGGACUCACACUUCAAUAAAAUUUUGGAUAAUCUCAGGAUACAAAAUCGUGGCUGUGGGUGACAUAUUUGACAUUUCCAACCUUGACCGGCUAGGCAAAUCUGAGGUGAUGAAAUACACCAGUGAACAGAGCAUGCAUUCACAGGGGGACCAGAGAGGCAGAGGGUCUCUCAGAGCAGAUGCUAAAACUGAUGAUGAUGGAUGUCUACAUGGAGACUGUUGAGUGAUCAGGGGAGGCUCAUGUAGAUUCUACAUUUUCCAUUGUUUCAUGAAAUCUUAUAUGCAAAUUUACAGGGACAAUUAGUCUCACACCAAUGCAGGGUGGCACUCUGAGAUUUCGCUUUUUAUCAAGAUUUUUCAUGUUUCUCAUGUUUUGCAUUGUAUAUCAUAUGUUUUUAAAAUAUUAAUUUGAAAAAGAGUGAAAAAGUGGAUAGAUUUUUAUGUUACUACAGGCAUUACAGUAAUUACUUGAUAUCCGGUUGUGCUUAUCCAGGUCUGUCUGGAUCUUUUGUCAGUUGAUAAAGUGACAGUAGAUGGUUCUUCUCACAGUUCAAAGCAAUCUUUGCUAAAUGGGGGACAGUCUGGCCAUUGUAUCGGAGAAAAGAUCUAGAUGUUUUUGGGCUGUUCCACCUCCCCAGUGGUAACUGUCACAAACCACACAAAGAGAUCAGGAGAAAAAACAUGGCAAACUAAUUGGUUACAAUCUUGCUUUACAUAUUUGUCUACAAGAGACUAUAAACACAUAAGCUUAUGUCCCUAUGGGCUUAAUGCUAAUGUGCAAUAUCAUAAGCAAUCUGUGUAAAGUGUGUUGUGAGAUACACAUAGCUAUAUUGGUGGUUUACUGUUACAGUAAAGCAAAGUGGUAUAGGGUCAUGAGUAAUGUAUCCGAUGUUUCCCAGUUUUUUCAAGAACAAAUUUUUGUUAAAUGUUUUAUCUGUCCAGCAACUAAUGAUCC